Molecule: long non-coding RNA, 278 nt
Organism: Hemiscyllium ocellatum (epaulette shark)
Lineage: Eukaryota; Metazoa; Chordata; Chondrichthyes; Orectolobiformes; Hemiscylliidae
Exons: 3
Source: RefSeq, a predicted model, not a curated record
AGCGCCGGGAAGUGUGAUCGGAAUUCUAGGAGGCGUCAUCGCUGCUGUUAUUAUCAUCAGCGCCAUUGUAACCGUCUUCUUCAUUUACCGGCGGCAACAGAAGAACCGAGCAGAUACGGACAAUGAUCUGAUCGACCUCCCUCCAUCCCACAAACCGCCAGCUCCUGAAAAGAAGACGGAGAUGAAGAGUCAGUUGACGGCAGAUGACAUUCAGGUGGUACAGCUGGACAGCACGAAGGAAGAAGAGGAUGCUGUGAAGACUCCAGUCCAGACCCAGU